This 420-nucleotide ribosomal RNA is filed under the name Mimagoniates microlepis. Its description in RNAcentral is "partial 12S ribosomal RNA". It matches the Rfam family "Bacterial small subunit ribosomal RNA", at positions 774 to 1395 of the family's 1533-position model. Lineage: Eukaryota; Metazoa; Chordata; Actinopteri; Characiformes; Stevardiidae. The record is from RNAcentral.
GGGAUUAGAUACCCCACUAUGCUUAGCCCUAAACUUAGAUGUUAAAUUCACAAACAACAUCCGCCAGGGUACUACAAGCGCUAGCUUAAAACCCAAAGGACUUGACGGUGUCUCAGACCCACCUAGAGGAGCCUGUUCUAGAACCGAUAAUCCCCGUUAAACCUCACCACCCCUUGUUUUCUCCGCCUAUAUACCGCCGUCGCAAGCUUACCCUGUGAAGGUCUCAUAGUAAGCAAAGUGGGUAAAUCCCAAAACGUCAGGUCGAGGUGUAGCUUACGAGGUGGGAAGAAAUGGGCUACAUUUUCUACAUCAGAAUAAUACGAACGACACCAUGAAAUUGGUGCCCGAAGGUGGAUUUAGUAGUAAAAAACAAAUAGAGAGUCUUUUUGAACCAGGCUCUGAGACGCGCACACACCGCCC